UAGGGAAUCUUCGGCAAUGGGGGCAACCCUGACCGAGCAACGCCGCGUGAGUGAAGAAGGUUUUCGGAUCGUAAAGCUCUGUUGUAAGAGAAGAACGUGUGUGAGAGUGGAAAGUUCACACAGUGACGGUAACUUACCAGAAAGGGACGGCUAACUACGUGCCAGCAGCCGCGGUAAUACGUAGGUCCCGAGCGUUGUCCGGAUUUAUUGGGCGUAAAGCGAGCGCAGGCGGUUUAAUAAGUCUGAAGUUAAAGGCAGUGGCUUAACCAUUGUUCGCUUUGGAAACUGUUAAACUUGAGUGCAGAAGGGGAGAGUGGAAUUCCAUGUGUAGCGGUGAAAUGCGUAGAUAUAUGGAGGAACACCGGUGGCGAAAGCGGCUCUCUGGUCUGUAACUGACGCUAAGGCUCGAAAGCGUGGGGAGCAAACAGG
This 429-nucleotide ribosomal RNA is filed under the name bacterium. RNAcentral's name for it is "partial 16S ribosomal RNA". It matches the Rfam family "Bacterial small subunit ribosomal RNA", at positions 355 to 776 of the family's 1533-position model. The record is from RNAcentral.